RNAcentral lists this transfer RNA (67 nucleotides) under Candidatus Peregrinibacteria bacterium. Its description in RNAcentral is "tRNA-Ser". It matches the Rfam family "tRNA". From Rfam's summary of the family: Transfer RNA (tRNA) molecules are approximately 80 nucleotides in length. Their secondary structure includes four short double-helical elements and three loops (D, anti-codon, and T loops). The record is from RNAcentral. Lineage: Bacteria; Candidatus Peregrinibacteriota.
GGAGAGGUACCCAAGUGGCUGAAGGGGCGGGUUUGCUAAACCUGUNNGAAUCCCUCCCUCUCCGCCA